CUGUUUUUCCAGCAUAGCCAUGCUAUACAAGCAACCUGCCUGUUAGCCCAUUAGUUAGGAAAAAACACAGCAUACAUAGGGUUCAACACUCUCCGAGGUUCCAGACAUCUCCUGGGGGUCUUAGAAUGCAUCACUCAUGGGAUGUGGGCCGCCAGCAUGGCUGCACACAGAGCAGUACAGGUCCACGUCCAGGGAACGGAACCCAGGCCCUUGAAGCAGACCAUGCUGAACUUAACCAGUAGGCCAGCAGGGUUGGCCCAUUAUUCUUUUUUCAAGUUACAACUGAAUGGACAUUCAUUGACCAAUGGAGGAUACCCACAUAUCACAUCAGGACACCUGAGAGACCCACACAGCUAUACAUCUGAAGGUGGAUGGACUAGCUCCCUGGGAAGUGGUGGAGAUAGGGGGGGUGAAGAAGACUGGCCCUGAGCUCACAUCUGUUGCCAAUCUGCCUCUUUUUGCUUAAGGAAGAUUGUCGGUGACCUAACAUCUGUGCCAAUCUUCCUCUAUUUUGUAUGUGGGAUGCUGCCAUGGCAUGGCCUGGUGACUAGUGUGCAGGUCCAUGCCCGGGAUUCAGAUCCACAAACCCUGGGCCACCAAAGCGGAGUGCAGGAACUUAACCACUAUGCCACUGGGCUGGCCCCAAUAAUAUGUUAAUCUUAUUGUUUGAAAUAUUGUGUGAUAAUCUCUAUCUAACACUGUCUACUUAAAUAAUCACAAAAUUGUUUUUCCUUUAUUCAUAGAUUUUCAAAUGCUAAUUUUCCAUUCCUUUGUAAUCACUGUAACCAGAACUUUAUGCAAUUUUUUCUUGACCUUGCUUCUACCCUUGCCACCUCACAAUCUAUUCAUUCCUUAUUCGGAAACCAGAGUGUCCUUUUUUCUCACCUUGCCUUGACUAGCUUCACCUCUUUCUUUCUCGAUAACUUACAUUAAAGGUAAACUGGGCUAUUAGAAUGUAAUGCAGAUUUUGAUUACAUUCUCCACAAUACUCCAAAGGCAAUAAGUGUAUAAAUUUAACUUAAUGCUUAUAUAUGUUAUAACAUAAAUACAAAUGUAUAUUCACAAAUCUGAAACGCAUAAGCAGAAGUAAUUUUUUCAAAGGAAAUGCCCCAGCCAUUUUCAAAACUGAAAGAAACAUUGUAAAAUAUUAUGUGGAUCAACUUAAUAUAUCAUGGAACAGAAAAUUAUUAUAAAUCACAAGGACUUCAAGAAUCUAAAGUUAAAUUUUUUGCAAAAUGUUUAGCAAUAUCUAUGUGAUAUGUAUCUUCAGUGUUGUGCUUCUAUUUUACAUUUAUGAGGGACUUUUGAAUAUUAGUUUCUGAGUGUAUGAAACAGUGCUUUAGGAGGUAUUCUUUUUCAAAUUCACAUUAUUGUUAGGCUGAAAUAUGUCUUACUUCAUUGGCAUGUACUCGUUUUGGGGCAAAGAAAAUUCAUAUUUCCAUUGACUAUGUGUGCUGCUCUAAAAUUUGAUAUUUUUUUCAUUUUUCAUUAUGAUUUAUCAAAUUUGGGAAAGAAGAGUCUGGUUCUUUAGUGAUUUAUAUUAGCAUGCUCCUUUUGGAGGAUAUGAAAGAUGCAUGUAGAAUGAUUGUAUCAACUCAGCAAACAAAAUUACCUUGUAGACCAUGACAUUGUGUACAGGAAAACAUCUAAUAUUUACCAUGUGGACUAAAGUGAAACUAUAAUUAACAUAUCUCUGAUAACCAGAUAUUAAAGGACGACAAAGGCAAAUAAAAUAAAUAAUAUGGUUACAAAGGACAAUUGAUAGUAUCACUUCAUUACAAAUUAUGAGGAUGUGCUUUUUUUUAAUGGACAUGGGAAAAGUUGUUACAUUAGGAUAUUGAUCAAAUAAACAUGUGGUUGAUUUCAUUAAACAGCAAAGUAGAGGAACUACACUCUGAUGUAAUGUGUCUGACUGCAAUGGGACGGUAUGGAUUUUCAGAAAGGCUUCUUGAUUAGUUUGAUUAAUUUACACACAGCAUAUUUUAGUUCCUCCUGGAUUUGUGUAAUAUCUGCACAAAGUGCUUUUUAUAAUAAACUUCUAAAAAUAAAUGAAUCAUAUUUUGUCAUAUUGUGAACUGUUAUGGGAUAUUCAUCUACCAUUUCUCU
Equus caballus (horse) is the source of this 2106-nucleotide long non-coding RNA. NCBI's taxonomy places the organism in Eukaryota, Metazoa, Chordata, Mammalia, Perissodactyla, Equidae. The record is from Ensembl.